Molecule: unclassified non-coding RNA, 240 nt
Filed under: Hevea brasiliensis (rubber tree)
Lineage: Eukaryota; Viridiplantae; Streptophyta; Magnoliopsida; Malpighiales; Euphorbiaceae
Source: RNAcentral
AAGCACUGGAGCACGCCGGAAGAAAUGCGCGGUUCAUGGGCUGGCGCGAUGGGUCAUACCCAGUGGAUGCCGGAAGUCUGGCUCAAUGUCGGCUUCGAUUAUGACGGCGAUGGACGCGUGUCCCCGNNNNNNNNGACGACGCGCUCGGCUCCAGCGCGCGCUAUCUCGUCAACCGCGGCAAGUACCGCCGGGGCGAGCAUUGGGGCUACGAGGUGAAGGGUGCAAGCGGCAGCGGCAACA